This 160-nucleotide ribosomal RNA is filed under the name Peronospora cristata. RNAcentral describes it as "5.8S ribosomal RNA". It matches the Rfam family "5.8S ribosomal RNA". From Rfam's summary of the family: 5.8S ribosomal RNA (5.8S rRNA) is a component of the large subunit of the eukaryotic ribosome. It is transcribed by RNA polymerase I as part of the 45S precursor that also contains 18S and 28S rRNA. Functionally, it is thought that 5.8S rRNA may be involved in ribosome translocation. The record is from RNAcentral. Lineage: Eukaryota; Oomycota; Peronosporomycetes; Peronosporales; Peronosporaceae.
GCAACUUUCAGCAGUGGAUGUCUAGGCUCGCGCAUCGAUGAAGAACGCAGCGAACUGCGAUACGUAAUGCGAAUUGCAGGAUUCAGUGAGUCAUCGAAAUUUUGAACGCAUAUUGCACUUCCGGGUUAUCCCUGGGAGUAUGCCUGUAUCAGUGUCCGUA